RNAcentral lists this ribosomal RNA (465 nucleotides) under Dawkinsia filamentosa (blackspot barb). RNAcentral describes it as "partial large subunit ribosomal RNA". It matches the Rfam family "Bacterial large subunit ribosomal RNA", at positions 2001 to 2606 of the family's 2925-position model. The record is from RNAcentral. Lineage: Eukaryota; Metazoa; Chordata; Actinopteri; Cypriniformes; Cyprinidae.
UAAACGAGGGCUUAACUGUCUCCCAUUUCCAGUCAGUGAAAUUGAUCUACCCGUGCAGAAGCGGGUAUAAAUAUACUAGACGAGAAGACCCUUUGGAGCUUAAGGUACAAAACUCAACCACGUCAAUCAACUCAAUAAAAAGCAACUUUUUACUAAACCUUAUGACAAAUGAGACUAUACCUUCGGUUGGGGCGACCAAGGAGGAAAAGAAAGCCUCCAAGUGGACUGGGUCAACACCCUAAAACUAAGAGAGACAUCUCUAAGCCACAGAACAUCUGACCAUAAAUGAUCCGGUCAAUUAAGACCGAUCAACGAACCAAGUUACCCUAGGGAUAACAGCGCAAUCCCCUCCCAGAGUCCAUAUCGACGAGGGGGUUUACGACCUCGAUGUUGGAUCAGGACAUCCUAAUGGUGCAGCCGCUAUUAAGGGUUCGUUUGUUCAACGAUUAAAGUCCUACGUGAUCU